GUGUCAGCAGCCGCGGUAAGACGUAGGAGGCAAGCGUUAUCCGGAGUUACUGGGCGUAAAGCGCGUGUAGGCGGAUUGGUAAGUGGUUCGUGAAAUAUCCGGGCUAAACUCGGAGGGGACGAAUCAGACUGCUAGUCUGGAGGCGGGUAGAGGGGUGCGGAAUUCCGGGUGUAGCGGUGAAAUGUGUAGAUAUCCGGAGGAACACCAGAGGUGCAGACGGCGCCCUGGGCCCGACCUGACGCUGAGACGCGAAAGCUUGGGGAGCGAACGGGAUUAGAUACCCGAGUAGUCC
Molecule: ribosomal RNA, 292 nt
Filed under: uncultured bacterium
Lineage: Bacteria
Description: partial 16S ribosomal RNA
Rfam family: Bacterial small subunit ribosomal RNA
Source: RNAcentral